This is a long non-coding RNA of Panicum virgatum (switchgrass), 5017 nucleotides long. RefSeq lists it as uncharacterized. The transcript has 6 exons. The record is from RefSeq and is a predicted model, not a curated record. NCBI's taxonomy places the organism in Eukaryota, Viridiplantae, Streptophyta, Magnoliopsida, Poales, Poaceae.
UUUUCCCUUCUCUACCAAUUCACCACGGGUCGGACCUCCUCCUGGCUCCCGCUCGACGACGCUGAACGCGCAGACGAGCGACCAGUGGCGCGGCGGCACGAGUGCGGGUGCGUCGCGUGGACCGCUAGCAAGCGUGGCGCCGUUGGAAGCCAACGGUGGCGCGCAGCCACGAAUGGUGGCCGUCGGAAGCGCAGAGCACGCCGGCGAGCUCGGGAAUGGGCGUCUGCGUGGCCGAGUCCACGCCCUUGCAACCAACAAGUCCAGGCUUGUUGAGACCUAAACCAAUGCAAAUCUGCUGGCCUCCGCUGCCUUCCUUGGUCCUGCAGCCAUGGGGCCUCCCCUGCCUUCCUUCGUGCCCCGCGGCCGAGCCUGCUCCUACAGUCCUACUACACCGGCUCCCCGCAUCCCGCUCCCUGCUCCUUCGACUCUCGACCAUUGGGGGCUACCAGAUCCAGAUCCAGCGGCACGGGCGCACGGCCAGGCAGCUUGGUGCGGCAGCCCCAUGACGGUGAUGGGGCUUGGAGACCAUGAGCAGUGAGCACGGCAGCCGAGGGCGUACGACACGGGGAUCGGGCAACGAGCAAGCAGCCAAUCCAUUCCCGUGCUAGAUGCAUCUCCCGUUCUAGAUACAAGGGUCUCCCUCCCUGGCUGGCAGCAACGCGACACUGCCCUCCCUCUCAGUCUCAGGCCUCCGGUGAUAAGGCAGCAGCUACUGCAGGUCCAUCUAUCGUCCUCCCUAUUAUCUACCGAACGGUUAUCUCUCAUAUUUCUUUCUCAAAUGUCCAGGGAAGCCCUUUCUCGUGGAUCUCACUAUUUUCUUACUUGAUGUACAUACUCCAACACUUCACCCUGCUCAAUCCAUCAGCUAUUGGGAUAGAUUGGCUGUUUCAGUGAGAGCUUAUCGGAGGUGUUGAUCCUUUGUCAAGCAAAGUUUAACCUACCUGGUAACCCACUACCUCUGUUCCAUUUUCAUUUCUUCUGUGGUUUGCAAUGCAGCUUUUAUGGUACAACAAUUCCUUUAUUUAACUAUAUGCAUAUGUAUAUACAUGUUUUUACGCAAAAACACAAUGUAGGUAGUAUAACUUUGUAUAUGGACAUAUACCCGUAUACAUAGUUGUGUAUAGGAGCUGAAGGUAUAUAUGUUCAACUUUGAAAGGUCAUCUCUCAGGUUAGUCAUCCUAAGUGAAGCAAUGCUUGGAAGAGUUAGUUCCAAAGCAUUGUAAAUUCAUGUUAUGCAGUAUGCUAGUGAUUCACUUUAAACAUGAUAUGUAUCUGUUUCAAGCUAGCUUUUGUAUUUUUCUGAAAAAAUAUACUUCAUUUCUGCAACAUAAUUAUUUCAAUAGAAAAAGUUAACACGGGAUGAUGGUAUUAGAGAUUUGAAAAAAGUGGUUUGUCAACCAUAUUAUCAUAGUAUCUAUUUUUUCGCUGUCAUUCCUGAACCUCAUUGCUAGAAGGACCAAAACAAAAGGGUUAGGGUUUUUUUAAUAGUUAUAAGUUUUAUAAUUUCGUUGUUGCCUCAUUGAAGUAUUUGGAUUACGAACUUAAGUCACUUUUUCGAAAUGUUGUUGGGAUUGUCAGGCAUAUGGUUCAAUCUAUACCACUGCUGCAAUUAAUAUUCCUGCAGCCAUAAGAUUCUUAAGUUAGCAAUACAAAAGCGCCAGAUAAAUUCCUUAUCCUUUGUUCCUCUCAUUAUUUGGAAUUAAGGCUUUACUUCUUCACAUUUGGUCCGAGGUGCCUAAUCAAUGCCUUAUUUCGAAACAUCAUAACUGCCCUGCCUUAGUUACAGGGAAGAGAAUUACACAUAAAAACUUCAGAUAUGCAUUAUGUUCUAUUUGUAUCAGCAAUACAAGUGGGAUUAAGUGGAGUUACAUAUGCAAGACAAUUUUUCUAUGCAAUAAUGUUCUAGGUAAAAAGAUGGACCUUUUUAAAUUAGGGAGCACAACAUGGACCUUGACUGGUGAGUUUCCAACUGAAUAUCAUUGAAUGAAGACCUUUUUAACAGUCCAAUUGAACUAUACAUAACUGAGUGCCCCUAAUGGAGAAACCAUGCUUUCGAUUUAGCACCAGGUAAUUUCUCUACAUGUUCAAUGUUUUGGUAAAAAUGAUUGACAGGGAAGAAAUUCCUUUGAGAGAUGUAUGUACAUGUUGUUGAAUUAAAAGACAAGAUAUUUUCAGGCUGAGCAAUUCUACUGCAGGCUCUAAUUGGCCGAAGAAAAUUUAGGUGCGGAAGAGAACCUCCAGCUCGAUUUACACAGUGAUUAUAAUAUAAUUGGUUCAACAGUAGAAAACAUCAUUGCCAUCUAUUACUAUAGGUUUAGCUUGGCCAAUUUAAAAAAGAGAUGAGGUGAGUUCAUGGUAAUUGAAGCUGAAUGUCAAUAUAGGAUCCUAAACCCCCAUACUUUUUUUUUGAGAUACUCUUUGCUACUUUCUGCAUGCUACAUCAUUGCCUAGCACCUAUAAUCCAACUCAAUGUAAUUUGGAUGCCAGGUAUACAUGCUUUUUACAAGACUAAAACUAUUUUAAAUUCUUUCUUACAUGCAGAUCAUAUCGCUGCUUAAUAGUUGAUCCUUUUGCUAUUGGCGGCACAGAACAACAUGGAAUUGGCAAUUCAAACAACUCGCUAAAGCCAGCACAGCUAAGGAAUUAAAGGGAAAUGUAAUUAUCAUGAAAUUCAACCCGAAUUCAAUUUACUUUUCCUUCCAUCUCCAUUUCCUCUACUAAUGCAAUUGCAGGAAGCAACAGCCCCUGAUCCAAGAACUACAAGGUUCUGAGAAGCCAUCAACUUGAUGUGAGCCAUCAAUCUAUGUCUGGAAUGAAGAAAAUAGCUACGUUCUGUUUAGGGAUUUUGCAGAAGCUAGAUUAUGGAUUGGUUGCGUGCCAGGCAUUUUUCUUGCUCUAACCCAUGAGCUUGCACGGCAAAUUGAGAAGGUCAUGUGCAUUGUGGUUUGUUCUCCCCAGCUCUGUUCUUUCCAAAAUUGCCUUUUUUUCAGGUCCAACCCGUUUUCAUGCUACAAUCAGAGCACAUUUUCUUCCAAUAUGGCUGCAGCAGUAUGCUUGAAUCUGUGACAAACACCUGCUAUCUCCAAAUCUAGAACCUGAAUACAUCGGUGCUCCAAACUCUACAUAUAACAUGCUAUUCUCGAGCUCGCCAAGUCACUAACCCUUACUAUUGUUUCUCUUAUACGGCUUUCCAUGCACAGGGGUAACAAAAUUUCCUUUCUUGUUGUGCUCUUUUUUCUUCAGAUAGGGGAUACCCUUCUUACAAGCCACACGACCAGGCUUGUAGCAAGGGUGCCACUGGUGAUGAUUGGUUGCAGUACUGUAGCAGGUAUCAGCAAACGGCUCAAGGGCAAUAACAGUAAGCCAUGUGUCUUCUGUUACAUCCUUCGAUCAGGAUUACAACUUCCUACCGACGUGGAAAAAAAUGUGUAUUUAGAUUCCUAUUAGAAAACUAAACAAAACCUCUGUAUGUGUUCCUACCUACCUCUGUAUGUGUUCCUACCUCAAUGCCCGGUAUAAAAACUACAUUACAACUAUCAAUAAAAUAUAUACGUGCUCGUUCUUCAUAAUUAUGUGUUCCUACCUUAAUUUUUACUGAAGCAGACAACAAAAGGAUACCUUAAUAGCUAGGCUUAAAAAAUUCAGGCGCGGCAAGGCGCGCGUAAAGUACUCGUGAAUAAUUAUAGCGACGGAACGACGCAUUGAUUGUGCGCGUGCGUUCACACUGGCAAACUAGUAAAGUGGACAGAACCGCGCCGCCUAGAGCGGGCCCACCGCGCCCUCCUCAAGCGCCAGCGCCCCGCCUGCCGCCUGCGUGCGCCGCCGCCGCCGCCGCUCCCGAGGACAGACCGCCGCAUCCCCCGAGGACUCCCGCGCCCGUCCGACUGUGAACCCUCCGCGCCACGCCGCCAGAGCUCCGCCCUUGUGCAUCGCCUCUGCCGCGGCUCAGUGACCCCUCCCCGCGCACGGAUGCGGCGUCCGUCGCAGGCGGCAUGGUGGACGGAGAUGCCUAGGCAGAGCCCGCGGCCGGGGAAGACGGUGGCCUGCAUGGCGGCGAGCGACGCCAGCACGCCAUCGCUGGGUCCGUAGUGACGCAUUUCUCCCCGCCGAGGACGCCAGCGCCGCUGCCCUGCCCCACCGCGCCCCGCAACGCCGACCCCGGCGCUGUGCAGGAGCUCUUCACCAUGUCGCCCACCAAGUGCUCGACAGAUUUCGUGAGCCAGGGCAUAACACCUGCAGUUUUGCAUCGCCAAGCAGGUCUGCGUGAUUCUCAUCCCCUUUCCUCCUCUUGCCAGCUGCUUGCUUAGUAGAGAUAUCUUAGAAUGAGAUCAUUUCCUUUGGACGAUGUUGUGGGCCAGUUUGGUGGAGUGAUCUUAUUUUUCUUUACUUUGGUGGAGUGAAAUUAUCCAUCUUAUGGUCUGGGCAUGCUUCCAAAGUAAAAUUUUGACGAUGGGGCUGUACAUCAGGCAAGUCUUCCCAUUCUUUAAUGGCAUUAGCUCAUGAAUAACAUUUUUUUCAACAAAUACAGUAAGGCAUUAGUGGAUCCAAGAGUGCAAUACUAUAUUUAUUUCAUGAGCUCGUCAGAACUGCAAUACUAUAGCUGAUACGGGUUUGAACUUAUCUUAUCAAGGUUUCUUUGUGUUACUAUUUUUAUCUUGUGUUAUUUGGGGAAUUUGGAAUCAGCAAAUUUAAUCCUAUGCCCCCUGCAGGGAAAUCAGAUCUGCAGUGCGAGUGAUUUUCUGAAAUGGUCUACCUGUACCAUGCCUCUACAUAGGCCGGGUAAUCCAGAAUGAUGGCAGCAAGUAGUGAAUUACGAGGAUCCUAAUCAUAUGUAGUUUAGUCUCUUGUAAAAUGUCAGAGGCUUCUCGUUGCUUCUUUGACAAUCUGUUGUUAUAUGUGUCUUCUGUAAAUACAUCUUUCUAGUAUCUUGUACUCUGGUUGUGUCAUUUACAUAUAAGUACUAUGGUGCUGUUUUUUCUAUGGAUUAAUGGUGCUUUAUGGUUCAUGGUAUUUGAUA